AUGUGACAAAACUUCCAGGAAGAUGCCCAACUAGAGUUGGCACCCACAGUAAUCUUGUGAGUGGAUCCCAUCAUUUGAACGGCAAUGUUUUCUCCAUUUAAUGUUGACUGUGGAUACUCACUGAGUAUAUUGAAGACCAAGAGAGGUAGAUUUCUGUCAUUGAGAAUCAGUGAGAGUGCUCCUAUUUUUCAUAUUCUUAUAAUAUUUAUCCACCAAAAUAUCUGAAGUGCUUUUCGUGUGUGGGAUUAUCCAUUAUAGACAAGCUUUUAUGCUUCUGAGAUAACUGACCCAAAACACCUCCCCAACGUGCAAAGUCCACCUCAAAGAAGGACAAGGACCAUGAGUAUAUUGGAGGAAGGCAAAAUCCUGUGGAUGCUGGAGAUCUGAAACAAAAGCAGUGCUGGAGACACUCCGACAGUCUCCGAGGAGAGAGAGGGGCAGGGUUAAUACUUCGAGUCUGCUAUGCCUCUUCUUCAGAUAUCAGAGCAUAUAGGGCUGACAUUUCCUCCAAUUUCCCCUUCAACUCAUCUAUUAUUCCAAUCUGGACAUAUGUCAUGAUUCCUUCACUGUUGCUGGGUCAAAACGCUAGAUCUCUGUCCCUGAACAGUAAUGUCAGUGUAAAUACACAACAUCUACAUUGCAGGGGAUGAAGGAGGCAGCUUACUGUCCUUUUCUCAAGGCCAGCCAAAGAUGAACAAAUGUUGGCCCAGUCAUGACACCCAUAUCCCAUGGCUGAAUUACCAAAGAUCAGCUACACUGAAUGUGUGUACAAUACUACCUAUUGUUCCUUGCGGAUUUAUUUUACAAUGUUUAUUGCUGCUAUCCUUUUAUCAAAUUAAAGUUUUA
Non-coding RNA from Chiloscyllium plagiosum (whitespotted bambooshark), 846 nucleotides. The record is from RefSeq and is a predicted model, not a curated record. Lineage: Eukaryota; Metazoa; Chordata; Chondrichthyes; Orectolobiformes; Hemiscylliidae.